UACGGAGGGUGCGAACGUUGCUCGGAAUCAUUGGGCGUAAAGCGCACGUAGGCGGCGGCGUAAGCGGGAUGUGAAAGCCCAGGGCUCAACCCUGGAAGUGCAUCCCGAACUGUGUCGCUUGAAUCUCGGAGGGGGACAGAGAAUUCCCGGUGUAGAGGUGAAAUGCGCAGAUAUCGGGAAGAACACCCGUGGCGAAGGCGGUUCUCUGGGACGGUACUGACGCUGAGACGCGAAAGCGUGGGGAGCGAACAGG
RNAcentral lists this ribosomal RNA (253 nucleotides) under uncultured bacterium. RNAcentral describes it as "partial 16S ribosomal RNA". It matches the Rfam family "Bacterial small subunit ribosomal RNA", at positions 524 to 776 of the family's 1533-position model. The record is from RNAcentral.